RNAcentral lists this long non-coding RNA (4212 nucleotides) under Homo sapiens (human). RNAcentral describes it as "HSALNT0282478". The record is from RNAcentral. Lineage: Eukaryota; Metazoa; Chordata; Mammalia; Primates; Hominidae.
GCUAUCUGGGUGUUUCCAGUAAUGAGGUCUCAUUCUGUUUCACAGCCAGCUGGUACUCUAUGGUAUAAUCGCCUUUAAGCAUUUGCCGUUUUCUCCCUUAGUUGUUUGCUCCUUCCAUUCUUGUGCACACAGGACUGUGCACGUAUGUAUGAUUAUUUCCUUAGAACACAUACUUAAAAGUGAAACUGCCACGCCAAAGGAGUCAUUUAUUCAACAAAUCCCCUUUUGAGCACCUACUGUGUGCAGGGCAGUUUCAGGCAGAGACUUUGGGGGGUCUAGAAAUACACAUAUCCCUCCCUACCUUCGUGGUGGUGACAUUCCAGUAAGGAGGGGUGUCUGCUUUUUAUUUUGAUAAAUGCUGCCACACAAAGGCAGACUUCCAUCAGUGGCCUCGGGAAUGAAUGCCCAUUAAUGGGCGGUGGCUCUGCAGCAAGGGUUUGGACGCUUGGGCCUUUGCUCUCAAACGAAUCAUCAGGGUAUGGGGCAGGGACAGUGCUCUGGGGGACGUCGGUUGGGGGAGACAGGGCUGGAACGUGGGCAGGAGGAAGGCAUGAAAGAGUCCAUUUAGUUCUUUUGCGGUGAACUGAAGAUUGAUUCACUUGACACUGACAUGAAAGAGUCCUUGUCGCACACACAAGGGGAGCGUGAGCGGUGGGAAUGAAGGGUUAACGACUAGACUGUGCAGCUCCAGGACCAUACCACUACGGUCAUGGGAGGUACCACAGGGGAGGGGUCGUGUAUUUCGGAAGAUACCAUUGUACUAGUGGAGACACGAAAGGUCUCCUCAUCCCGCGAGUGGAUCGGCCUCCACCCUAGACCGAGGAGAGAAUGGCUCUGCCUGGACCGACCCCCGCGCCGGGCGGACCCGAUCUUCGGCCUAAAGCGUCCACCUGUCUGGAAGCCGCCGCCACCAAGCUUUUAUUAAUAUAUCCGUUCCCGCCGGGUUGGCUAUACAGAUGCGAAUCAACUCCGGGGGUGGGGUGAGGAGGAAGGCCGCGGAGCGGCGAUUGCUUCCUGGACGAGUUGCGUAGGGCGGGACAAAGUCUUGCCCUGAGCUCUGAUUGGUCACCGCGAGACUGCCUACCUAAGCUCUUCCAGGGUACCGAGGUUUUCCGGAAUCACUAAGAGGCUACAGGCCGGGUCCUUCGGCUCCGCGUUCCUAUUGGCUGCUGUUUCGGCGCAAGCGCUUUGGCUCCUGGGUUGGCGUUCAGGGUUGCCGAGGCAGGGCUUUGGCUACUGGAGAUCGUAGGUUCGAAUCCCGUCUGGGAAGUUCAACUUGUGCACCUGUAAAAGAAGCUGGCAUUAUUGGCUUGUACUCAAGGGCUGGCACAGAGUGUGUCGGGGUGCGGACGCCCCAGCCACGCCCAUCAUCCGUGCGGAAGAUGCAGAGGUCAUAUCGGAUACCCUUCUGUACCACACGAUUUGGGCAGUCAUAGCCGCAGCGGCAGCGGGAGUUGCACUCGUAGAUGGGCAGCCCGGCUCGAAGCCGCACCUGGCCCUGGUCAUUGUAGGCAAACUUGUGCAGUGACGCCCCCGGGCAGCAGCCUCCAGUGGGUGCCCACAGACAGUCCUGGCACUCGCAGCCCACAGCCACCUGGUUGAGGGUGAUGCCCUCACCAACACGGUACUCAUUGAUGUACACGAAGGCCCGCGGAGGGCCGUCCAGGUCCACCUCAUUCUCUACAGUGAUGCGUCCCAGAUGGCUGCGCUUGGCAUUGAGCUCCUGCUCCCAGCGACGGAGCGCCCGCCUCUGCUUGGCCUUCUGCACCAGGUAGUUGGCCAAGCUUGGGUCCAGGUGCCGGGGGGUCUUUGACCGGUGGUGCCGCCGGAGCAGCUCCCUUUCUAAGUCCUUGUGGAACUGCUUGAGGAUACGCACACACUUGAGAUUCUGCCGUGGCUCCCAGGUGCUCUCUGAGUCUGGAUAUCCACGCCAUUUCACCAGGUACUCGACUUCAAAGUCAUAGAGGUUCCUCUUAGAGAUACCGAGGGCAGGGCAGGAGAGCUUGGCCAGGCGGCACAGGUCCUGCAGCUGAUUCCAAGAAGACUUGCAACACACGCUGCAGCCUGGAUCAAGCGGGGCAGAAAGAACUAUUACUGGGCAGCCUGACUAGGCCAGGAGUCAAAGGGGACCCCAAAUCCUCCCUGGGACAUCCCAAAGACUGACUAAGAGUCAGGGAAAUUUAAUCCACAGGCCUUCCCCAGUGCUGAGACUGUUCUACAACAGAAAUGUGCUUUGAACCCCAAUACUCACUGCCCAAAGCUGCCCCUGGAGCAGCAGACCUCUAAGCGGGGUUUGCAACAUGAAUUGUCCUAAAGGAAUCUAUUUCCAGAGCUUCAAACUCCAUGUCAUUCCUAAAACUGCCUGCAAACCUGCUUUGGGUUCAGGACCUGAUCACCCCUCUCUCCACUUUGCAAAAGAAAGAGAACAACCCCCCAUCUCAGUAGGAUGCAGUGCCCCGAGGUGGGGCGGAUGGGAGGACAAGAUUAAAACCUCCAGGGCACCAAACAAAGGCGUAACUGGAAAGACUGGUCUUUAAUCCCUUAUCUCAAACUCCUGGGCCAGAUGUGUUUUGGAAUUCAAAAUUUUUUGGAUUUUACAAGACUAGUUCUAGGAUAUCCCAUACAUCACCUAACACCCCCAGCGUGGCCAGGGGACAUCAAGCUAUAAUCAAAUGCAUUAACCGUCCUGCAGCAAAAGUAUGAAUUUCCCACAUUAAAUAGGAGAAAUAGAGAUAUAAAAUAGCCUCACAGAAGAGUUCCACUUUAUAAUCUACUUUUGCCAUAAAUGGUGCCAAAUUUAAGAAAAGGAUUUCAGUUUUCAGGGCUUUUUAGAUUUCGGAAUUAUGAGCAAGAGAUUGUGGAAUGAUACUACAUUACAGGAAGGCUCCUUAAAUGAUCAAUCUGGGUGCCUUAAAUCCACAAGGUAUAUUUUUUCACACUGCAUUUUGACUUUCUGUCUCAUCCAUCUUUCUGUGAAGAGUAAAGCUCAUCCAAAGGGUUAUGCUCUGAAUUUAUACGCAAAGCGGUACAGAUUAGUGACACUGAUUCUUUUAAAUAUACCUGGUAUAUUUCUGGGACUGCCAAAAUUUUGUAAGACACACGGAUUUUAAAAAACAGAUUUCUUUCUGAUUCAAGGCACAUUCUUAAUCAAAGUACUUUAGAAGCCAUUUUAUCAAAUCAUGUCUCAAAACAUUCCAAGGGCAGUCAGUCCUCAUCCUAUAUCAUCUUUUUAAAAUGUUUAAUAUUUUCUGCCUCCCAUUGCAAAAAUCACACCUAAACUUUAGAUGUCAACCUAAAAACGUACAAGAGCUUUUCAAAAUUAUUUCGUGUGCAAGCCCUACCCCCCCUACUUAGGCAAGACCAAGUGGAGACUGAGCCCGCCUGUGCCCACGCUUUCCUCUCCCUACAGCCUGUCCUCGCAAACCCCUUCCUUCACUUGCAUUUGAAACCCCACUUAAGUGGUCCCAAUUAACACCCUCCAGCUGCUGGCUCCGGAACUGGCCACAGGUGGACUCUCCUGAACCCCUCAGAGGUCCUCCCACUUGUGGAACCCAUCCUCCCUGCGGCUUUCGUCACAUAGAGGGGCCCCCCAACAUAACUGAGUCACCCCUCUUUCCCUGCACAUGGGGGAGUCCAGCUGUCCUAUUAGGAAGGCCCCAUUUCUCUCUUCUGGGAGAUCCUCUAUUCCAAACCCUUCCCCCAUCACGCCGAGAGGCGAUACUUUCCCCCAGAAGAGUUCUCAGUCCCCGCACUCUGAAGGGGGGGUCUGUCCCCCUUAUCUUCCCUCCCCUUCCGGCGUCUCGCGUGGACACCGAAUGGGUAACGGUCACCAGGGGCCGAUUUUCCCGCGCGCGGGCGCGGCCUCCUCGACAAGCCCCCGCGCGUGCGCGCGCCGGUCCGGCCGCGAUCUGCAGCGCGCGCCCCCCUCCUGCGUCCCCACUUAGCCCCAGGCCCGCUGCGUUCCGAGGCGCGCGCCCCCUCCCCUGAGCCCCGCCCAGCCCCGCGCACCAGGCCCGCGCUCCCCGAGCCUCAUCCUUUCCGCGCCGAGCUUCCGGCUCCCGGCGCCGGGGCCUCGGACGCCGGGGCCCCGAGCCGGCAACGCCACCCCUCCAGCCCACCCGGCCCGGCCAGCGGGCCCGCGCCUCUGCCUCCACUGCUUCACCUUUUAAAUUUUCCGCCAUCUUUCCCCACGGCUAACGACAUUCGGGCCUA